GUGUCAGCCGCCGCGGUAAUACGUAGGGGGCAAGCGUUGUCCGGAAUGAUUGGGCGUAAAGGGCGCGUAGGCGGCCUGUUAAGUCUGGAGUGAAAGUCCUGCUUUCAAGGUGGGAAUUGCUUUGGAAACUGGCGGGCUGGAGUGCAGGAGAGGUUAGCGGAAUUCCCGGUGUAGCGGUGAAAUGCGUAGAGAUCGGGAGGAACACCAGUGGCGAAGGCGGCUAACUGGACUGUAACUGACGCUGAAGCGCGAAAGUGUGGGGAGCAAACAGGAUUAGAAACCCUCGUAGUCC
RNAcentral lists this ribosomal RNA (292 nucleotides) under uncultured bacterium. Its description in RNAcentral is "partial 16S ribosomal RNA". It matches the Rfam family "Bacterial small subunit ribosomal RNA", at positions 505 to 796 of the family's 1533-position model. The record is from RNAcentral.